This 744-nucleotide ribosomal RNA is filed under the name uncultured bacterium. RNAcentral's name for it is "bacterial SSU rRNA". It matches the Rfam family "Bacterial small subunit ribosomal RNA", at positions 8 to 796 of the family's 1533-position model. The record is from RNAcentral.
AGAGUUUGAUCAUGGCUCAGAGCGAACGCUGGCGGCAGGCUUAACACAUGCAAGUCGAGCGGGCGUAGCAAUACGUCAGCGGCAGACGGGUGAGUAACGCGUGGGAACAUACCUUUUGGUUCGGAACAACACAGGGAAACUUGUGCUAAUACCGGAUAAGCCCUUACGGGGAAAGAUUUAUCGCCGAAAGAUUGGCCCGCGUCUGAUUAGCUAGUUGGUGAGGUAAUGGCUCACCAAGGCGACGAUCAGUAGCUGGUCUGAGAGGAUGAUCAGCCACAUUGGGACUGAGACACGGCCCAAACUCCUACGGGAGGCAGCAGUGGGGAAUAUUGGACAAUGGGCGCAAGCCUGAUCCAGCCAUGCCGCGUGAGUGAUGAAGGCCCUAGGGUUGUAAAGCUCUUUUGUGCGGGAAGAUAAUGACGGUACCGCAAGAAUAAGCCCCGGCUAACUUCGUGCCAGCAGCCGCGGUAAUACGAAGGGGGCUAGCGUUGCUCGGAAUCACUGGGCGUAAAGGGUGCGUAGGCGGGUCUUUAAGUCAGGGGUGAAAUCCUGGAGCUCAACUCCAGAACUGCCUUUGAUACUGAGGAUCUUGAGUACGGGAGAGGUGAGUGGAACUGCGAGUGUAGAGGUGAAAUUCGUAGAUAUUCGCAAGAACACCAGUGGCGAAGGCGGCUCACUGGCCCGUUACUGACGCUGAGGCACGAAAGCGUGGGGAGCAAACAGGAUUAGAUACCCUAGUAGUCC